Small nucleolar RNA from Tachyglossus aculeatus (Australian echidna), 138 nucleotides. The record is from RefSeq and is a predicted model, not a curated record. Lineage: Eukaryota; Metazoa; Chordata; Mammalia; Monotremata; Tachyglossidae.
CUCCUCUCAGGGUCACACCUGGAGAGUUUCCAAUACUCUACCAGCCUUGGCUAUGAGAGAAGGAGUCAAGCAGAGGCCUACUCAUUCCAUUCCUAGCUUGGGCAGUGACUAGAAAGUGGAAGGCAAUCUGCUACAAGU